This 483-nucleotide ribosomal RNA is filed under the name uncultured bacterium. Its description in RNAcentral is "partial 16S ribosomal RNA". It matches the Rfam family "Bacterial small subunit ribosomal RNA", at positions 30 to 507 of the family's 1533-position model. The record is from RNAcentral.
UUGAACGCUGGCGGCAGGCCUAACACAUGCAAGUCGCGCGGAUGAAGGGAGCUUGCUCCUGGAUUCAGCGGCGGACGGGUGAGUAAUGCCUAGGAAUCUGCCUGGUAGUGGGGGAUAACGUCCGGAAACGGGCGCUAAUACCGCAUACGUCCUGAGGGAGAAAGUGGGGGAUCUUCGGACCUCACGCUAUCAGAUGAGCCUAGGUUGGAUUAGCUAGUUGGUGGGGUAAAGGCCUACCAAGGCGACGAUCCGUAACUGGUCUGAGAGGAUGAUCAGUCACACUGGAACUGAGACACGGUCCAGACUCCUACGGGAGGCAGCAGUGGGGAAUAUUGGACAGUGGGCGAAAGCCUGAUCCAGCCAUGCCGCGUGUGUGAAGAAGGUCUUCGGAUUGUAAAGCACUUUAAGUUGGGAGGAAGGGCAGUAAGUUAAUGCCUUGCUGUUUUGACGUUACCAACAGAAUAAGCACCGGCUAACUUCGUG